This 886-nucleotide ribosomal RNA is filed under the name uncultured bacterium. RNAcentral's name for it is "bacterial SSU rRNA". It matches the Rfam family "Bacterial small subunit ribosomal RNA", at positions 38 to 879 of the family's 1533-position model. The record is from RNAcentral.
GGGGGGGUGCCUAUACAUGCAAGUCAGAACGCGUCUCCGUUAAUGAUUUUAGGUGCUUGCACUUGAAAGAUUUAACAUUGAGACGAGUGGCGAACUGGUGAGUAACACGUGGGUAACCUGCCCUUGAAGUAGGGGAUAACACUUGGAAACAGGUGCUAAUACCGUAUAACAACCAAAACCACCUGGUUUUGGUUUAAAAGACGGCUUCGGCUGUCACUUUAGGAUGGACCCGCGGCGUAUUAGCUUGUUGGUAAGGUAACGGCUUACCAAGGCGAUGAUACGUAGCCGACCUGAGAGGGUAAUCGGCCACAUUGGGACUGAGACACCGCCCAAACUCCUACGGGAGGCAGCAGUAGGGAAUCUUCCACAAUGGACGAAAGUCUGAUGGAGCAACGCCGCGUGAGUGAUGAAGGGUUUCGGCUCGUAAAACUCUGUUGUUGGAGAAGAACAGGUGUCAGAGUAACUGUUGACAUCUUGACGGUAUCCAACCAGAAAGCCACGGCUAACUACGUGCCAGCAGCCGCGGUAAUACGUAGGUGGCAAGCGUUGUCCGGAUUUAUUGGGCGUAAAGCGAGCGCAGGCGGUUUUUUAGGUCUGAUGUGAAAGCCUUCGGCUUAACCGGAGAAGUGCAUCGGAAACCGGGAGACUUGAGUGCAGAAGAGGACAGUGGAACUCCAUGUGUAGCGGUGAAAUGCGUAGAUAUAUGGAAGAACACCAGUGGCGAAGGCGGCUGUCUGGUCUGUAACUGACGCUGAGGCUCGAAAGCAUGGGUAGCGAACAGGAUUAGAUACCCUGGUAGUCCAUGCCGUAAACGAUGAGUGCUAAGUGUUGGAGGGUUUCCGCCCUUCAGUGCUGCAGCUAACGCAUUAAGCACUCCGCCCUGGGA